AAAGGAAUAGACGGGAGCCCGCACAAGCAGUGGAGUAUGUGGAUUAAUUCGAUGCAACGCGAAGAACCUUACCAGGGCUUGACAUCCCGCGGAUCCGUGAUAACGAUCGGAGUGCCCUUCGGGGAACGCGGAGACAGGUGGUGCAUGGUUGUCGUCAGCUCGUGUCGUGAGAUGUUGGGUUAAGUCCCGCAACGAGCGCAACCCUUACGAUUAGUUGCUACGGGAAGAGCACUCUAAUUGGACUGCCGUUGGCAAAACGGAGGAAGGUGGGGAUGACGUCAAAUCAUCAUGCCCCUUACGUUCUGGGCUUCACACGUACUACAAUGGCGCAAACAGAGGGAAGCGAAGCCGCGAGGCGGAGCGAAUCCCAAAAAAGGCGUCCCAGUUCGGACUGCAGGCUGCAACUCGCCUGCACGAAGUCGGAAUUGCUAGUAAUCGCGGAUCAGCAUGCCGCGGUGAAUACGUUCCCGGGCUUUGUACACACCGCCCGU
Molecule: ribosomal RNA, 491 nt
Filed under: uncultured bacterium
Lineage: Bacteria
Description: bacterial SSU rRNA
Rfam family: Bacterial small subunit ribosomal RNA
Source: RNAcentral